CAUAGGCCAAGCUCCAAACCAUGCUCCAAUGAUAGCUCCAUAGGCCGGAACAGUGAUCAUAUAAUCUCUGUUUGAAGUUGGCCUGAAGAUUAUGGGAUCAACCAUAAAUGAGUGGAAAAGAAGAAUUCAUGCGGCUGACUCCAAAUAAAAUUGGCAUUAAGGCGAUGUUGUUGUCGUUGUGGUGGUGGUGGUGGUGGUGGGAUCAACCAUAAAGAAGCCACUUUUCAUCUUAUCUUAGUACAUAAC
Molecule: long non-coding RNA, 246 nt
Organism: Tarenaya hassleriana
Lineage: Eukaryota; Viridiplantae; Streptophyta; Magnoliopsida; Brassicales; Cleomaceae
Exons: 2
Source: RefSeq, a predicted model, not a curated record